GACGAACGCUGGCGGCGUGCUUAACACAUGCAAGUCGAACGGAAAGGCCUUUUCGGUGGGACUUGAGUGGCGAACGGAUGAGUAACACGUGGGUGAUUUGCCCUGCACUCUGGUAUAAGUCUGGGAAACUGGGUCUAAUACCUGCUAGGACCGCACUCUUGUUUGUGUGGUGGAAAGUUUUUUCGGUGUAGGAUGAGGCCGCGGCCUAUCAGGUUGUUGGUGGGGUAAUGGGCUACCAAUGCGGCGACGGGUAGCCGGACUGGGAGGUUGGUCGGCCACAAUUGGAAGUGGAUACGGGCCAGACUCCCACGGGAGGGAAGAGUGGGGAAUAUUGCAAAAUGGGCCGGAGCCUGAUGCAACGACGGCGCGUGGGGGGUGAAGGGCUUCGGGUUGUAAACUCCUUUCGCCCGGGAAGAAGCGUUUUGUGACGGUACCUGGAGAAGAAGCACCGGCUAACUACGUG
This 463-nucleotide ribosomal RNA is filed under the name uncultured bacterium. RNAcentral's name for it is "partial 16S ribosomal RNA". It matches the Rfam family "Bacterial small subunit ribosomal RNA", at positions 28 to 507 of the family's 1533-position model. The record is from RNAcentral.